RNAcentral lists this ribosomal RNA (228 nucleotides) under uncultured bacterium. RNAcentral describes it as "partial 16S ribosomal RNA". It matches the Rfam family "Bacterial small subunit ribosomal RNA", at positions 117 to 334 of the family's 1533-position model. The record is from RNAcentral.
GUAGGGUAAAGUCUCCUCGUGGGGAGACCAGGGAAACUUGGGCUAACACCGCAUAAUGCAGCGGCAUCACAUGGUGACAGUUGUUAAAGCGGGGGAUUUUAGGACCUCGCGCCUGAAGAGGAGCCUGCGGCGGAUUAGCUAGUUGGUGAGGUAACGGCUCACCAAGGUAACGAUCCGUAGCCGGCCUGAGAGGGCGGUCGGCCACACUGACACUGACAUACGGGUCAG